RNAcentral lists this ribosomal RNA (394 nucleotides) under uncultured microorganism. RNAcentral describes it as "bacterial SSU rRNA". It matches the Rfam family "Bacterial small subunit ribosomal RNA", at positions 9 to 410 of the family's 1533-position model. The record is from RNAcentral.
GAGUUUGAUCCUGGCUCAGAUUGAACGCUAGCGGGAUGCCUUACACAUGCAAGUCGAACGGCAGCACGGACUCCGGUCUGGUGGCGAGUGGCGAACGGGUGAGUAAUGUAUCGGAACGUGCCUAGUAGCGGGGGAUAACUACGCGAAAGCGUAGCUAAUACCGCAUACGCCCUACGGGGAAAGACAGGGAUCGCAAGACCUUGCACUAUUAGAGCGGCCGAUAUCGGAUUAGCUAGUUGGUGGGUAACGGCUCACCAAGGCGACGAUCCGUAGCUGGUUUGAGAGGACGACCAGCCACACUGGGACUGAGACACGGCCCAGACUCCUACGGGAGGCAGCAGUGGGAAUUUGGACAAUGGGGAAACCCGUGAUCCAGCCAUCCGCGUGUGCGAUG